CCUACGGGCGGCAGCAGUGGGGAAUAUUGGACAAUGGGGGGAACCCUGAUCCAGCGACGCCGCGUGAGUGAAGAAGUAUUUCGGUAUGUAAAGCUCUAUCAGCAGGGAAGAAAAUGACGGUAUCUGACUAAUAAGCCCCGGCUAACUACGUGCCAGCAGCCGCGGUAAUACGUAGGGGGCAAGCGUUAUCCGGAUUUACUGGGUGUAAAGGGAGCGUAGGCGGGGAAGCAAGUCGGAGGUGAAAGGUCGGGGCCAAACCGCGGCGAGCCGUUGAAACUGGCUGUCUUGAGAUGUCGAGAGGUAUGCGGAAUGCGCAGUGUAGCGGUGAAAUGCUUAGAGAUUGCGCAGAACUCCGAUUGCGAAGGCGGCAUACCGGCGGAGAUCUGACGCUGAGGCACGAAAGCGUGGGUAUCGAACAGGAUUAGAUACCCUAGUAGUC
RNAcentral lists this ribosomal RNA (439 nucleotides) under uncultured bacterium. RNAcentral's name for it is "partial 16S ribosomal RNA". It matches the Rfam family "Bacterial small subunit ribosomal RNA", at positions 338 to 795 of the family's 1533-position model. The record is from RNAcentral.